This 497-nucleotide ribosomal RNA is filed under the name uncultured bacterium. RNAcentral describes it as "partial 16S ribosomal RNA". It matches the Rfam family "Bacterial small subunit ribosomal RNA", at positions 28 to 507 of the family's 1533-position model. The record is from RNAcentral.
GAUGAACGCUGGCGGCGUGCCUAAUACAUGCAAGUCGAGCGAACAGAUAAGGAGCUUGCUCCUUUGACGUUAGCGGCGGACGGGUGAGUAACACGUGGGUAACCUACCUAUAAGACUGGAAUAACUCCGGGAAACCGGGGCUAAUGCCGGAUAACAUGUUGAACCGCAUGGUUCUACAGUGAAAGGCGGCUUUGCUGUCACUUAUAGAUGGACCCGCGCCGGAUUAGCUAGUUGGUGAGGUAACGGCUCACCAAGGCAACGAUACGUAGCCGACCUGAGAGGGUGAUCGGCCACACUGGAACUGAGACACGGUCCAGACUCCUACGGGAGGCAGCAGUAGGGAAUCUUCCGCAAUGGGCGAAAGCCUGACGGAGCAACGCCGCGUGAGUGAUGAAGGUCUUCGGAUCGUAAAACCCUGUUAUUAGGGAAGAACAAAUGCGUAAGUAACUGUGCGCGUCUUGACGGUACCUAAUCAGAAAGCCACGGCUAACUACGUG